RNAcentral lists this ribosomal RNA (310 nucleotides) under Pseudomonas zeiradicis. RNAcentral's name for it is "bacterial SSU rRNA". It matches the Rfam family "Bacterial small subunit ribosomal RNA", at positions 1126 to 1434 of the family's 1533-position model. Lineage: Bacteria; Pseudomonadati; Pseudomonadota; Gammaproteobacteria; Pseudomonadales; Pseudomonadaceae. The record is from RNAcentral.
UAAUGGUGGGCACUCUAAGGAGACUGCCGGUGACAAACCGGAGGAAGGUGGGGAUGACGUCACAGUCAUCAUGGCCCUUACGGCCUGGGCUACACACGUGCUACAAUGGUCGGUACAGAGGGUUGCCAAGCCGCGAGGUGGAGCUAAUCCCAUAAAACCGAUCGUAGUCCGGAUCGCAGUCUGCAACUCGACUGCGUGAAGUCGGAAUCGCUAGUAAUCGCGAAUCAGAAUGUCGCGGUGAAUACGUUCCCGGGCCUUGUACACACCGCCCGUCACACCAUGGGAGUGGGUUGCACCAGAAGUAGCUAGU